Long non-coding RNA from Teleopsis dalmanni, 94 nucleotides. RefSeq lists it as uncharacterized. The transcript is spliced from 3 exons. Lineage: Eukaryota; Metazoa; Arthropoda; Insecta; Diptera; Diopsidae. The record is from RefSeq and is a predicted model, not a curated record.
GAAGAUUUGUUGUAGUGCAGGAAGAGGAAAGCCAUGGAAUUAUUUGUCCUUUUCAGAGCCUUCAAAAGAUAAUUGCAGUUGGUGUGAACAGGUA